CUUCUGCCUCAAGCUUUUCCAAUUAACUUUAUUUUUUUAUGAUUUUUACUUUUUCUGUUACAGUUGAUUUACACUGUUUUCUCAAUUUCUACUGUACAGCCAAUUAACUUUAAAUUCAAACUCCUUCCUCCUAGGCACUUUCUCCCUGCCACCCCUCUUUAUGGGCAGAAAAUAAUGCCAAUACUCACCAGUUCUUUAUGAAUUUACAUUUAUCAAAAUGAAAAGUUUUUAUUAGAAAAUAAUUGCUUUCAUACAUCCUUAUAAAGUAUGAAGAGUUCCUUCAGGGUGCAGUGAGUUAAGGAUCUGGUCUUGUGGCUCAGGUUGCAGCUGUGGUGCUGGUUCCAUCCCUGGCCAUGGAACUUCCACAUGCCACUGGUGCAGCCCCAAAAAAUAAAAACAAAACAAAACAAAACAAAAAAACGGAGACAUAAAAAUUAGAAAUUAAAAAUUUUAAAAUUAUACAUGGCUUGGGGGCUACCUGAAGUAACUAUUAUCAUUCUAAUGUAUAGUCUUUCAGAAUUUUUUCUCAUAUUCCUUUAAGAAAGUGGAACCACAUUGGAAAGAACAUUUUAACUUAAAAAUAUUAAAAGGAAAUACAUCUAUAUCAAUAUGCAAAAACAUACAUCAAAAUUUAAUGCCUGGGAUGAGAAACACCUGGGUGCCCUCUCAGACUAGUCUGUAAGCCAUCUGGCACAUGCAACCUAUUAAGCAAAUCCCAGUCUUGCCUGAAGCCUCUCCCAGUGUCCAAGCCAGAGUCAUAGUGAGGUAGUCCCUCAUCCCAGGAGCCCACCAGGUGUUGGAACUGAAGACCAUGAUCUGGCUAAAAACCUGCAGGUGUGGUUUGGCGUGAGGCCAGCACGGGGGAGUGAAAUGCGUGUGCGCAAGGGACACAGUCUUCUUUCAGGAGGCAGAAAGCCCAGGGUCAGCAAUGCCAGCUUCUGACUUGAUUCUUGGCACCACUCUGAGGUUUGCCAAAGUCCUAGGCCACAGCAACCCAAACACCAUGUUCCACUGAUUCCCUCAGGGCCGUUCCUCCUGACAGCAGUGAGGGGUCUAGAAUUCAUCUCACAAGGUGGUCUCUGCCUAUUCCUAUGGCCUUUCCUCUGAGGAAUAAACAGCCUCAGGUACAUAUGUAAUGGAGGAACUCGAGAUUUUUGGAGAAAUUACUGAUUUUGAGACCAUGACAGGAAACCUGUAAGAUAAGCCUGGAGAAUCCUGUAAUACCAAAGGAAGAUUGAUUCCAGUGGCUCUGGGUCUGUUUCUGUGUAAUUCAUUCAGCCAUGCCCCCUUUCUUUGGACUUCACCUCCAGGCGAGUUUACGUCUUGAUGACAGAUUGUAUGUAGACUGUGCCUGAAAUAAUAUCGAUAUGCCAUGAUAUACAGAGGGGGAAGCAUUGCCAAUUUUGUGAUCUCCUUUAAAAUAUAGGAUCUAUAUUUCCCAGAAAUACCCAGAAAAUCACUUCUUUUGACUCACUGUCCCCAAAUAAGUCAUACAUUCGUCCCUCAACAGACCUCUGGAAUUAGAUGUUGCCAAGGAUGGGGAUGAAAACAGUAGAGGCAUACAGCUAAAAUUGUGGUGCCCUUAGAAAAUGGAAACAAAAUCAAG
Molecule: non-coding RNA, 1606 nt
Organism: Sus scrofa (pig)
Lineage: Eukaryota; Metazoa; Chordata; Mammalia; Artiodactyla; Suidae
Source: RefSeq, a predicted model, not a curated record